RNAcentral lists this transfer RNA (72 nucleotides) under Ipomoea nil (Japanese morning glory). It matches the Rfam family "tRNA". From Rfam's summary of the family: Transfer RNA (tRNA) molecules are approximately 80 nucleotides in length. Lineage: Eukaryota; Viridiplantae; Streptophyta; Magnoliopsida; Solanales; Convolvulaceae. The record is from Rfam by way of RNAcentral.
GGUCCCAUGGUUUAGUGGUUAGGAUAUUGGACUUUGAAUCUAGAAACCUAAGUUUAAAUCUUGGUGGGACCU